Molecule: long non-coding RNA, 1885 nt
Filed under: Ananas comosus (pineapple)
Lineage: Eukaryota; Viridiplantae; Streptophyta; Magnoliopsida; Poales; Bromeliaceae
Description: long non-coding RNA (ACOM_LNC041886)
Source: RNAcentral
CACGAUACACAAGCAUGAAUUCCCUCACUAUCGUUGAGGUAUCACUCGGCCACUCGCCAAAAUUUGGCGAUCGCUCAGCUAUCCACACAACAGGGACGCUACUACCACCACUCGAUCGCUCGGAACAUUGUCCGAAAUUCUCAAACCACAAGGUUGUCCUCAACAUCUCGAGCACAUUGCCCAGAGAGUUAGUCCACUAGUUCUAUCUCUGUAUCGAGCCCAACCCUUGACUCGCAACCAGCCAGUCGCCGGCACAACCCAAUCACACCUAUUGUCACGACCCGCGACCACCCGACUAUUUGGCCGAGGUCGCGGCGCCGCCGACAGACCGCCGAACGGACAGAGUCUCCCCUGUACGUCCUAGGCGUCGCAAUCAAUACAAGUACAAGAAGUUCCAACCAGGAACAGUAUUCAAGCAAGAUUGCAUAAGGAAGGUAUCAAACAACAUAACACAUCCUAUGUUAUUACAAGCAUUCCCAUUAGAUUCAUUUUUACAUCACAUUAGCAUUAUUACAUUACAUUUUCUUCCAAAUACAAUCAAUGAUCGCAAUAUUAUUACAAGUUUGCUCUUUUUCUUUUCCCUCUACCCCUAGGCUAUGCCGACUCGGGGUACCUCUAUCUCUGGUCUCUGGGGUAGGGCGCUAUCUAUGGAGCUACGCCCUCGCCUUGCGCCGCCGCGCCGCUCACGUGCGAACCUGUAACACCCCAAAACAACGUGGGGUGAGAACCAACUCCAUGGUUCCCAGUGGGUACGGCCACCCAAGGGAAAAGCUCGACCAAUAGGUCUAAGGAGGCCCUGCAACAUGUUAGUCCAACAGAUAUCCAACAGAUAUAUAUAUUCAAGUAUUGAAAUACAUGUUGUGCCUCACAAAAUGCAAUAUGAAAUUCAUGCAGUUUAUGCAACCAUGCAACCAACUAGUAGUUCAAUCGAUACUACUUUUAUUCCUGUUAUUCACAGUUCAACCAAUUGACUUCUAAGUUUUCCUCUAUCUUAGAUUCUUGUCAAUUACAAUUCUGCUCAUAGGGUUUAACCUGCUUUUAUAAGCUAUCCACUCGACUCGGUCUUGAGUCAAUCACACGCGGAAUACCGCACAAAGCCAGGCUCAAGGUGAAGGAUGUCUCACAUGCACCUCAGCCCUAAAUCCACUCAACUGGGAUGCAACUAAAACUCAUACCAUGCAUCAAAUAGUAAAGGUUUACUAUCAUGCUAACAAAUUCGAUCCAUGUUCGAAUAAUAAUGUUCAAUGACAUUGUUCACUGUUCUUUUACCCAAUCUGUAGCGAAGCCCUAGGGUUCGCCAAUAACUCACCUUUCAAUCCCAAAGUGGGGAGGGAGCUCCAAGUGCACCCAAGCCCGGGACCGUCUGCGGACCUCCAUGUGGUCCGGACCUCCAAGUGGUCCUAGUCGCACGACACUCCAGAGUACUCGACGACAAUCCCCUCCAUGUAGGGAUAUGGAUGGCUAUACCACCCCAAAAGCAGACUGUGAGCUAGAUCUAUCCUCUCCAAGUGAGGAUACCCUAUAACUAGGGUCAACAACCCAAUCAAAUCCUCUCCAAGUGAGGAUGCUCUACAACUAGAGUCAACGACCCAAUCAAAUCCUCUCCAAGUGAGGAUGCCCUACAACUAGGGUCAACAUCUCAAUAACUCAUCGACAACCUCUCCAUGUGAGGGUACUUAGGUUUACUAAGUUCUUUAUCCACAAGGCAUUUUCUAAGGGAUUCACCUAUCUCUAGGUUCUCAAACCUCUAGUGUCAAAUACACUACAUUAAUGCCACUCGAUAUGUUCUUGCUUUCCAAUGUCAAUUUCUCUAAUCGACCAAGUUCAACAUGCAUAAUUCAUCUACUAUAUUCCACAAUAUGGCAACAUGUAUAAUUCUUCUAUC